Molecule: long non-coding RNA, 676 nt
Organism: Neopsephotus bourkii (Bourke's parrot)
Lineage: Eukaryota; Metazoa; Chordata; Aves; Psittaciformes; Psittacidae
Exons: 3
Source: RefSeq, a predicted model, not a curated record
UUUUGUCUGAGGCAUGGGGCUGGUUAUGCUCUGUCACCAUGCUCGGGAGCGGAAGAGAAGAUGCACUGCUUAUUGCUUGGAUAAACAAGUCUUCAACAGCCCUUUUACAAGACUCAGAAAGGAGGCACCCGCAAGGACUCCACCUCCUCUCCAGAUGCUCCACAAGAUGAGAGCGUGAAGCAGGACCGGCUCCAGUCCCAAGAGGCGAGGAAGGGUGAUGAAAGGGCGUUCAGAGGCCUUCUGCUGCCCGCAGAACUCGAAGCACUGUGAUGAAGAACUGCUAUUAUUCAGCUAAGAAGCAAUAUUGAUGCUAAAAAGCAAACGCAGUCACUGCCUUCCAUCCUCCCAGCAUCAGUCUGGAGGGGGAAAUCCCAGGUGGUGCAGAACAGGUCAAGCAACACCCAGAUGGCAAAGAGCCAUGGUGCUAUGAGGAAUUUUCCAGAAUCCUGAUUAGUAACAAAUCAGAGAUGGUUCAAUUCCAUGUAUUGCUACCCACAUGACUAAACUAUAGUGAAAGAUGCAUGUCUUGGCUUGCAGGUGCAAGAGGGAGGGUUUAUUGUCUUCUCGGUCCCUUCUUGCAGGAGGCUGGGUGCUGUUGGUGUGUGACAGGCAGUGAGAACCCUGUGGGCUGGUGGGAGCAGCCCCAUCUGCAGCGUGUUCAGACUGAUGGAGCGAU